RNAcentral lists this ribosomal RNA (406 nucleotides) under uncultured Flavobacteriaceae bacterium. RNAcentral describes it as "bacterial SSU rRNA". It matches the Rfam family "Bacterial small subunit ribosomal RNA", at positions 121 to 525 of the family's 1533-position model. The record is from RNAcentral. Lineage: Bacteria; Pseudomonadati; Bacteroidota; Flavobacteriia; Flavobacteriales; Flavobacteriaceae.
UGAAUUUUCCUCAUAGCGGGGGAUAACCCUUGGAAAACAAGAUUAAUACCCCAUUGUAUCUAGGAACCCCAUCGUUUUUACAUUAAAGGUUCGGCGGUAUAAGAUGGAUAUGCGUUCUCAUAGUUUGUUGGUAAGGUAACGGCUUACCAAGACUGCGAUAGAUAGGGGUCUUGAGAGGGAGAUUCCCCACCAUGGUAAUGAGACACGGACCAGACUUCUACGGGAGGCAGCAGUGAGGAAUAUUGGACAAUGGAGGCAACUUUGAUCCAGCCAUGCCGGGUGGCAGAAGGAUGCCCUUUGGGUUGUAAAAUUCUUUUAUUCAGGAAGAAAAACCUCCAUGUGAGGGGAGAUGCCGGUACCAUAGGAAUAAGCACCGGCUAACUCCGUGCCAGCAGCCGCGGUAAUA